AGACCACUGUACUGGACCUCACUCAAGGUUGACCAUUCAUUUGGAUGGCCAGCAUGAAAAACUACAUUUCCGAUGGCAGGAUAAAAUGGCAGUCUCUUUCGUUCCCUUUCCCAAAAUUGUAUACAGCUGUCACCGUACCCACCUGGCUUUCGUAGAUUGUGUUAUUCACUCCCUACUGGAGGUUCAUGAUCCCGUCUUAGAGUUCAGUCGUCUCAUCUAUGUGUAGCCUCCAGGCCCAUCUCUUUGGCAGGUUCAGCAGAUUUAUGAGCGGUUGUAUCUGAUUUGUUUUUAAUGGCUGAACAUUUGGCUGUCAAAUGCUUUUGGUGCCAGUGUUGCCUAGAACAUGAUCUUGUCGGCCCAUCACGUCUCUUCACAUGGUAACACCACAGUAUCUUCCAACCAAUUGAUGUCACUGGGCACCUGCAGAGUGAAUACGAAGAGGAGACACCAGUGGACUGUGCGGGAGCUUGAGCGAGAGAAGGCUUCAUCUAUAAUUUGCAGUUCUCCCAGAGCAGACUAUUGGAGCUUCCUUCUUCCUUUUCUAUAGACCUAUAUUACUUGUCUUGCAGACACAGGACAAAGCUGAGAUGAAGAAGAUUUUAGCAUCAAGAGGAGAAAAAAGGGGAGAGUUAAUAACAGGAGAAAGAAGCAUUUUUGUCAAAUAAGAUAAAUUGCUUAUAUAAGUUUCCUAUAUUCACUUGUUCUAUUAAUCUAUGCAAAGUUUGUUUAAAUGACACACUGCCUAUUUAAGCCAUGUUAAAGUGAUGACAGUAAAGGGAGGUAAAUUA
Molecule: long non-coding RNA, 788 nt
Organism: Hyla sarda
Lineage: Eukaryota; Metazoa; Chordata; Amphibia; Anura; Hylidae
Exons: 3
Source: RefSeq, a predicted model, not a curated record